RNAcentral lists this long non-coding RNA (450 nucleotides) under Phoenix dactylifera (date palm). RNAcentral describes it as "long non-coding RNA (PDAC_LNC020171)". The record is from RNAcentral. Lineage: Eukaryota; Viridiplantae; Streptophyta; Magnoliopsida; Arecales; Arecaceae.
UGCGGAGCCAAAGAUGUCCGACUCGGGGUCGGAUUGCUGGAUCAAGGGGCUGCCGUAGUCUUCCUGGGCGCGCGUGCCGGUCACGUGGGGCAUGGUGGCUAAGUUUCCCCGUAACAGUAGCCCCCCACUUCCGAGCCUGAAACCAGAAGGGGAACGGGUGAAGGGAGUGAUGCUUCGAGAUUGCCGCCAUCCCUCGGAGAGGCGCGCGCGUUUCGAGCUCUCCGCCUUCUUUAUGGCGUAUGGCGGUUGUUGCUGACCUGGCAGUCUGAGGAUUUCGGCGGACAUCCUUCCUUAAUGGCGUCGAUUCGCCUUUGGGGCGCGAGCGACCCUUCGGCAGCCAGGCGUCCUCUGGCGUCACCGAGGCGUCACCCACCUUUCCGCCUAUUUAACCGGGGGCCCUUCUCCGUCCGCCUUUCUCUUUACAGACAUCUUCGAGUUUCUCCUUUGCGC